AGGAAAGUUCCGUGUGCUGGAAUGUGUACAAAGGACCUGAGCAGGGAAGAAGGAUUAGAAAGAACUGACCUGAUGAGCAAAUCCCGCUCCCUUUGAAGAUCUAUACCCACCUGGGCACUUUUUUUCUCCUCUGCAGACAUCCAAGUACCCUAAAUGAGAUUAGGGUAAAGGGCCAAGAGAUGACUUCUCAGUUCUCUUCCAGUAUGACUGUGUAUGUGUUUGUCGCUGGGAAUCUGAUGGCUCAGUGAAAAAGCCCCAAAACCUUCAGCGUAAGGAGGCAGCAUCCUGCAACCUGACUCCCCCAAGCUGCAUAGAGCACCUGGUCCAAUGCCUGGGGACACAGGAGGCUUGUGGAGGUGUAUGUUUUUCCUUCAUGAACCCAUGAGAGCAACAAGAACAUAGACCAUGGAGCAAAUGUCCCAGUGGUUUAGGGGAAAUGUUCAAGAAUCAUAGCCAGUGCAGUUCACCUUUGUGGACUGGAUGCCUGGAAGCAGCCACAAAGACCAGAUGGAAACCCAGACAGACAUGGAUUCUCAUAAUGGGAUUCAAGGUCAGUUGGAAAGAUACUCCCCACUACAAUGCAAGAGCCCAGAUCCCACUUUCUGAUGAAGGAACCAACCCUUGACUGCCCUCAUAAUUUGGCUGGGAAGACCUUGGAGCCAGCUGAAGAGCCAGUGGUAUAGAGUUCUCCACAUGAUGUGAUUCCAAGGGCAGGAUGGACACUAGGUAUAGUGUAGAGUAGAGAUUCUGAAUUGAACUUUGCUUUCUGGAACCAGGUGGGUGUCUUAUUAUUUGCAUGACUGGUGGUAGGCAUAUCUCUAUAUGUUUCUGGAACUUGGUUUUCUAUUCACAGUCAUUCAGCAAGCAUCCUGUGAACCCUGACUGAAUGCUAGGUGCUGAGUUAUGAGCUUGGAGAGUGGGCAGGCAGCAGAGAAAGCUAUGUGAUCUUUGGGCUAAUGGAGGUUCUAGUCCAGUGGAAAUAAACAGAUAAUUGCACAAUUAAGUACAUUAUUCCACUUUGUAAUAAAUGCUGUGAGGGAGCAGAAUAGAGUCCCA
Long non-coding RNA from Chinchilla lanigera (long-tailed chinchilla), 1056 nucleotides. RefSeq lists it as uncharacterized. Lineage: Eukaryota; Metazoa; Chordata; Mammalia; Rodentia; Chinchillidae. The record is from RefSeq and is a predicted model, not a curated record. The transcript has 3 exons.